CUUGACAUGUUUGCAGUUGCCUGACUGUGCAGUUUUCCCCUUCUCCUGCAGAAACCAAACAAACAACAACACUCUCCUGUUGAAGAAUCCAAGUCAGGAUCUGUAUUUAACUCCUCUCCCCUGUGUAUGUACAAAGGCAUUACCUAUUUACUGUGUAAUUAGGA
Molecule: long non-coding RNA, 164 nt
Filed under: Taeniopygia guttata (zebra finch)
Lineage: Eukaryota; Metazoa; Chordata; Aves; Passeriformes; Estrildidae
Description: lncRNA (ENSTGUG00000022529.1)
Source: RNAcentral